UUUUUAAAAAAUAAAUAAAUUUAUAGUGAACAAAUCAUUUCAUUCAUAUGUAGAAAGAGUACAAUAUAGGCUUGUUCAGCUUGCAUAGAAGCAUUACCCAACCCAGUUUUGAUUCCAAAUCUAUAUAACCUAAACCUACAAGAUUCAAAAUUCUACUGAUAUAUAUCUAGUAUGUUUUUUUAGACUAAAAGAUAUAUCUAACACGGGUCGAUCAUUUUGUCAACUCUUGAAUCAGAGACAUAAGGUUAGUAUAAGACGAUCCGUUCUCCAUCAAAGCAACUCUACACUUUUCUCUCAUAUCUUUUACCUUCCUCCUAAUCUCAUCACUA
This 329-nucleotide long non-coding RNA is filed under the name Medicago truncatula (barrel medic). RNAcentral describes it as "long non-coding RNA (MTRU_LNC008334)". Lineage: Eukaryota; Viridiplantae; Streptophyta; Magnoliopsida; Fabales; Fabaceae. The record is from RNAcentral.